AAGCGGGGAAUAGCCCAGAGAAAUUUGGGAUUAAUACCCCAUAAUAUAUUUGAUAAGGCAUCUUAUUAAUAUUAAAGCUUCGGCACUUGAUGAUGGGUGUGCGGCUGAUUAGAUAGUUGGCGGGGUAACGGCCCACCAAGUCUACGAUCAGUAGCUGAUGUGAGAGCAUGAUCAGCCACACGGGCACUGAGACACGGGCCCGACUCCUACGGGAGGCAGCAGUAAGGAAUAUUGGACAAUGGACGAAAGUCUGAUCCAGCCAUGCCGCGUGAAGGAUUAAGGUCCUCUGGAUUGUAACCUUCUUUUAUAUGGGACGAAAAAAGGGCAUUCUUGUUCACUUGACGGUACCAUAUGAAUAAGCACCGGCUAACUCCGUG
Molecule: ribosomal RNA, 377 nt
Filed under: uncultured bacterium
Lineage: Bacteria
Description: bacterial SSU rRNA
Rfam family: Bacterial small subunit ribosomal RNA
Source: RNAcentral